GCUUCCGUGGCCCAGUGGCAAGGCGUCUGCCUAGUAAGCAGAAGAUCGGCGGUUCAAUUCCGUCCGGAAGCA
Molecule: non-coding RNA, 72 nt
Organism: Syncephalis pseudoplumigaleata
Lineage: Eukaryota; Fungi; Zoopagomycota; Zoopagomycetes; Zoopagales; Piptocephalidaceae
Source: the annotation of a GenBank genome assembly